RNAcentral lists this ribosomal RNA (301 nucleotides) under uncultured bacterium. RNAcentral describes it as "partial 16S ribosomal RNA". It matches the Rfam family "Bacterial small subunit ribosomal RNA", at positions 509 to 809 of the family's 1533-position model. The record is from RNAcentral.
CAGCAGCCGCGGGAAUACAGAGGAUGCGAGCGUUAAUCGGAUUUACUGGGCGUAAAGCGUGCGUAGGCGGCUUUUUAAGUCGGAUGUGAAAUCCCCGAGCUUAACUUGGGAAUUGCAUUCGAUACUGGGAAGCUAGAGUAUGGGAGAGGAUGGUAGAAUUCCAGGUGAAGCGGUGAAAUGCGUAGAGAUCUGGAGGAAUACCGAUGGCGAAGGCAGCCAUCUGGCCUAAUACUGACGCUGGGGUACGAAAGCAUGGGGAGCAAACAGGAUUAGAUACCCCCGUAGUCCCUGUCUCUUAUAA